AGAGUGAACGCUGGCGGCAGGCCUAACACAUGCAAGUCGAGCGGCAGCGCAGCAGUAGCAAUACUGUGGGCGGCGAGCGGCGGACGGGUGAGGAACACAUCGGAAUCUACCCUGUCGUGGGGGACAACGUAGGGAAACUUACGCUAAUACCGCAUACGACCUUUGGGUGAAAGUGGGGGACUCGCAAGAGCCUCACGCGAUUGGAUGAGCCGAUGUCCGAUUAGCUAGUUGGCGGGGUAAUGGCCCACCAAGGCGACGAUCGGUAGCUGGUCUGAGAGGACGACCAGCCACACUGGAACUGAGACACGGUCCAGACUCCUACGGGAGGCAGCAGUGGGGAAUAUUGGACAAUGGGGGCAACCCUGAUCCAGCCAUGCCGCGUGGGUGAAGAAGGCCUUCGGGUUGUAAGCCCUUUCUGCGUGACGAGACAAGGACGGUAGCGCAGGAAAAGUCUCGGCUAACUACGUGCCAGCAGCCGCGGUAA
Molecule: ribosomal RNA, 484 nt
Filed under: uncultured bacterium
Lineage: Bacteria
Description: SSU rRNA
Rfam family: Bacterial small subunit ribosomal RNA
Source: RNAcentral